Non-coding RNA from Bacteroides caccae CAG:21, 169 nucleotides. The record is from Rfam. NCBI's taxonomy places the organism in Bacteria, Pseudomonadati, Bacteroidota, Bacteroidia, Bacteroidales, Bacteroidaceae.
AAUCGGAGACUCUAUAUAAGGUACGAGAUUACCACCGAUAUUCUCCGAGGGAUUAGAACCUCGGCAACAGCAUAAUAAUAUAAUAUAUAUAUUUUAUGGAAAGCCGGAACAUAACAUUAACCAUAUGUGGGGAGUGGCUUGACUUCUCCCCACGAGACCGGAAGGCGGU